CCUACGGGUGGCAGCAGUGGGGAAUAUUGGACAAUGGGGGCAACCCUGAUCCAGCCAUGCCGCGUGUGUGAAGAAGGCCCUCGGGUUGUAAAGCACUUUCAGUGAGGAAGAACGCCUGGUGGUUAAUACCCAUCAGGAAAGACAUCACUCACAGAAGAAGCACCGGCUAACUCCGUGCCAGCAGCCGCGGUAAUACGGAGGGUGCGAGCGUUAAUCGGAAUUACUGGGCGUAAAGCGCGCGUAGGUGGCUUGAUAAGCCGGUUGUGAAAGCCCCGGGCUCAACCUGGGAACGGCAUCCGGAACUGUCAAGCUAGAGUGCAGGAGAGGAAGGUAGAAUUCCCGGUGUAGCGGUGAAAUGCGUAGAGAUCGGGAGGAAUACCAGUGGCGAAGGCGGCCUUCUGGACUGACACUGACACUGAGGUGCGAAAGCGUGGGUAGCAAACAGGAUUAUAUACCCGGGUAGUC
This 465-nucleotide ribosomal RNA is filed under the name Vreelandella stevensii. Its description in RNAcentral is "partial 16S ribosomal RNA". It matches the Rfam family "Bacterial small subunit ribosomal RNA", at positions 338 to 795 of the family's 1533-position model. The record is from RNAcentral. Lineage: Bacteria; Pseudomonadati; Pseudomonadota; Gammaproteobacteria; Oceanospirillales; Halomonadaceae.